Molecule: ribosomal RNA, 137 nt
Filed under: uncultured eukaryote
Lineage: Eukaryota
Description: partial 18S ribosomal RNA
Rfam family: Eukaryotic small subunit ribosomal RNA
Source: RNAcentral
UGGUGGGGUGACCCGUCUGGUUAAUUUCGAUAACGAACGAGAUCCGAGCUGUUUAGUUGGCUAACUCCACUUCUGUGGUGUUAUGUCUCCUAUAUGGACUGUCAGUUUGAGGCUGAAGGAAGUUUCGGGCUAAAUCA